Molecule: long non-coding RNA, 696 nt
Filed under: Heterocephalus glaber (naked mole-rat)
Lineage: Eukaryota; Metazoa; Chordata; Mammalia; Rodentia; Bathyergidae
Description: lncRNA (ENSHGLG00100044101.1)
Source: RNAcentral
ACAAGUUUCCCUUCAUCUUUCUGCAGCUGUCCACUGCUACCACUCAGCCUGUGGUCUAUCAUCACAUAUGAACAGUGUUAAAGUUUGGAUGGGGAAUAUCCCCUAAAAUCUCAUGUAUCAAAGGAUUGGUGACCAGUGGGAAAAUGUUUAAAGAAAUAGUCACUGAGGUUGGUCUAUGACAACAAGCAAAAAUAAAUCACAAAAUGAUAUUGUAAAGGAAGUGAGCAGAUUUCCUCUGCGAGAUCUUUCUACCAUGCCCAUCCCGUCUUGGGGCCAGCAGAUUAUGGACUGAGUCCUCUCAUGAGUGAAAAUUAACCUCUCCUCCUUUAAAUUGGAUUGAACUCGGGACCUUCUACUUGCAAGGCAGGAGGUGGAACCACUGAGCUAAAUCCCAGGACCUGCCUACUAUUGUUUAAAUGUGUUACUUUUAUGUAUCCAGUUUUAUCAUAAUAUGUGGGUAUACCUUUACAUAUUAAAUCUUCUCUAUCUUUCCUAGCUCAAAGGACUAAACAAUUAUUGACUAGUAUGUAAGUCAUCUCUUAUAGUCAAACUUUGUGUAUGCUUUAGUAACAUAAACCCCCAAAAAGUGAAUGUGUACUACAUAGAGGCAAUUUUUUGAAAGUUGUAAUUAGGUACUGUUUCUUUUAUACGGUUUCCAAAUAAAAAUAUAUGACUUUUCAUUUACAAUCAAGAAAG